Molecule: ribosomal RNA, 275 nt
Filed under: uncultured eukaryote
Lineage: Eukaryota
Description: partial 18S ribosomal RNA
Rfam family: Eukaryotic small subunit ribosomal RNA
Source: RNAcentral
AUAGCGUAUAUUAAAGUUGUUGCAGUUAAAAAGCUCGUAGUUGGAUUUCAAGGGUCGCAGCGUGUAACCACGUUUGCUCCCUACCAGUCUUUGACUGUUACUGUGAGAAAAUUAGAGUGUUUCAAGCAGGCUGUUGCAGGAAUACAUUAGCAUGGAAUAACGAAUGUGUCUAGAAUCUUGGUUAAUUCUAGAUUACGAUUAAUAGGGACAGUUGGGGGCAUUAGUAUUUAAUUGUCAGAGGUGAAAUUCUUGGAUUUGUUAAAGACUAACGUAUG